CCCCUUCGGGGGAUAAGUAGAGUGGCGUCCGGGUGAGUAACACGUAGGUAAUCUACCUUCGGGUGGGGAAUAACCCAGGGAAACUUGGGCUAAUACCGCAUAAUGCAGCGGCACCACAUGGUGACAGUUGUUAAAGCGGGGGAUCUUCGGAUCUCGCGCCUGAAGAGGAGCCUGCGGCAGAUUAGCUAGUUGGUAGGGUAACGGCUUACCAAGGCGACGAUCUGUAGCCGGCCUGAGAGGGCGGUCGGCCACACUGACACUGACAUACGGGUCAGACUCCUACGGGAGGCAGCAGUCGGGAAUUUUGGGCAAUGGGCGAAAGCCUGACCCAGCAACGCCGCGUGAAGGAUGAAAUCCUUCGGGAUGUAAACUUCGCAAGAAUGGGAAGAAUUAGUAGGGGCUAAUACCCUCUAUGAUGACGGUACCAUUUGUAAGCUCCGGCUAACUCCGUGCCAGCAGCCGCGGUAAUACGGGGGGAGCAAGCGUUGUUCGGAUUUACUGGGCGUAAAGGGCGCGUAGGCGGUCAGCACAAGUCAGUUGUGAAAUCUCCGGGCUUAACUCGGAAAGGUCAACUGAUACUGUGCGACUAGAGUGCGGAAGGGGCAACUGGAAUUCUCGGUGUAGCGGUGAAAUGCGUAGAUAUCGAGAGGAACACCUGCGGCGAAGGCGGGUUGCUGGGCCGACACUGACGCUGAUGCGCGAAAGCCAGGGGAGCGAACGGGAUUAGAUACCCCGGUAGUCCUGGCCUUAAACGAUGGAUGCUUGGUGUCUGGAGUUUUAUAGUCUCCGGGUGCCGUAGCUAACGCGUUAAGCAU
Molecule: ribosomal RNA, 815 nt
Filed under: uncultured Pseudomonadota bacterium
Lineage: Bacteria; Pseudomonadati; Pseudomonadota
Description: bacterial SSU rRNA
Rfam family: Bacterial small subunit ribosomal RNA
Source: RNAcentral